GCGCCGGUGGCGGAACUGGCAGACGCGCCGGCUUUAGGAGCCGGUGUCUUAGGACGUGUGGGUUCGAGUCCCACCCGGCGCACCA
This 85-nucleotide transfer RNA is filed under the name Acidimicrobiales bacterium. Its description in RNAcentral is "tRNA-Leu". It matches the Rfam family "tRNA". From Rfam's summary of the family: Transfer RNA (tRNA) molecules are approximately 80 nucleotides in length. Their secondary structure includes four short double-helical elements and three loops (D, anti-codon, and T loops). Further hydrogen bonds mediate the characteristic L-shaped molecular structure. tRNAs have two regions of fundamental functional importance: the anti-codon, which is responsible for specific mRNA codon recognition, and the 3' end, to which the tRNAs corresponding amino acid is attached (by aminoacyl-tRNA synthetases). tRNAs cope with the degeneracy of the genetic code in two manners: having more than one tRNA (with a specific anti-codon) for a particular amino acid; and 'wobble' base-pairing, i.e. permitting non-standard base-pairing at the 3rd anti-codon position. The record is from RNAcentral. Lineage: Bacteria; Bacillati; Actinomycetota; Acidimicrobiia; Acidimicrobiales.